This 329-nucleotide unclassified non-coding RNA is filed under the name soil metagenome. RNAcentral describes it as "partial contains 5.8S ribosomal RNA, internal transcribed spacer 2, and large subunit ribosomal RNA". The stretch from base 1 to 120 matches the Rfam family "5.8S ribosomal RNA", at positions 35 to 154 of the family's 154-position model. The record is from RNAcentral.
GAUGAAGAACGCAGCGAAAUGCGAUAAGUAAUGUGAAUUGCAGAAUUCAGUGAAUCAUCGAAUCUUUGAACGCACAUUGCGCCCCCUGGUAUUCCGGGGGGCAUGCCUGUCCGAGCGUCAUUACAACCCUCAAGCUCAGCUUGGUGUUGGGCCCCGCCGCCCCGGCGGGCGCUAAAGUCAGUGGCGGUGCCGUCCGGCUCCGAGCGUAGUAAUUCUUCUCGCUCUGGAGGUCCGGUCGUGUGCUCGCCAGCAACCCCCAAUUUUUUUCAGGUUGACCUCGGAUCAGGUAGGGAUACCCGCUGAACUUAAGCAUAUCAAUAAGCGGAGGA